RNAcentral lists this ribosomal RNA (466 nucleotides) under uncultured bacterium. RNAcentral describes it as "bacterial SSU rRNA". It matches the Rfam family "Bacterial small subunit ribosomal RNA", at positions 25 to 507 of the family's 1533-position model. The record is from RNAcentral.
CAGGACGAACGCUGGCGGCGUGCCUAACACAUGCAAGUCGAGCCGAUGAAGCUUCUUCGGAAGUGGAUUAGCGGCGGACGGGUGAGUAACACGUGGGUAACCUGCCUCAUAGUGGGGAAUAGCCUUUCGAAAGGAAGAUUAAUACCGCAUAAGAUUGUAGCUUCGCAUGAAGUAGCAAUUAAAGGAUUUAUUCGCUAUGAGAUGGACCCGCGGCGCAUUAGCUAGUUGGUGAGGUAACGGCCCACCAAGGCGACGAUGCGUAGCCGACCUGAGAGGGUGAUCGGCCACAUUGGAACUGAGACACGGUCCAGACUCCUACGGGAGGCAGCAGUGGGGAAUAUUGCACAAUGGGGGAAACCCUGAUGCAGCAACGCCGCGUGAGUGAUGACGGUCUUCGGAUUGUAAAGCUCUGUCUUUAGGGACGAUAAUGACGGUACCUAAGGAGGAAGCCACGGCUAACUACGUG